RNAcentral lists this ribosomal RNA (460 nucleotides) under uncultured bacterium. RNAcentral describes it as "partial 16S ribosomal RNA". It matches the Rfam family "Bacterial small subunit ribosomal RNA", at positions 338 to 795 of the family's 1533-position model. The record is from RNAcentral.
CCUACGGGAGGCAGCAGUGAGGAAUAUUGGUCAAUGGGCGCAAGCCUGAACCAGCCAAGUCGCGUGAGGGAUUAAGGCCCUACGGGUUGUAAACCUCUUUUGCCGGGGAGCAAGGGCGGGGACGUGUCCCGGCCCGGAGAGUACCCGGAGAAACAGCAUCGGCUAACUCCGUGCCAGCAGCCGCUGUAAUACGGGGGAUGCGAGCGUUAUCCGGAUUUUUUGGGUUUAGAGGGUGCGUAGGCGGGGUGUUAAGUCAGCGGUAAAAAUUCGGUGCUCAAACGCGUCCGGCCGUGGAUACUGGGAGCCUUGAGUGGGCGAGAAGAGGGCGGAAUGCGUGGUGUAGCGGUGGAAUGCAUAGAUAUCACGCAGAACCCCGAUUGCGAAGGCAGCCUUCCGGCGCCCUACUGACGCUGAGGCACGAAAGUGCGGGGAGCGAACAGGAUUAGAUACCCCGGUAGUC